GUAUCUGGUCUAGCAUAGUGGUUAUGUGUCCGGAAUUGGUGGGUUCUUGGUCUCACUGACUUCAAGAAUGAAGCCGCGGACCCUCCCAGUGAGUGUUACAGCUCUUAAGGUGGCGCGUCUGGAGUUUGUUCCUUCUGAUGUUCGGAUGUGUUUGGAGUUUCUUCCUUCUGGUGGGUUCGUGGUCUCCCUGGCUCAGGAGUGAAGCUGCAGACCUUUGCCGGGUUACAGCUCUUAAGGCGGCGCCUCUGGAGUUGUUCGUUCCUCCUGGUGGGCUCGUGGUCUCGCUGGCUCAGGAGUGAAGCUGCAGGCCUUCCCGGUGCUGAUAAUGUAUUGGAAUCUGAUGCCGGCAAGACAGGUUCCAUAACCCAGUGUGAUCAGAGGAUAUUUGGAUAUUGAAGGAACAGGAAAUAAAGCAGAGUCAUUACUGAGUCUGCUUACCUGAUGAAAAAUUUUACACCACUGCCACAAA
RNAcentral lists this long non-coding RNA (469 nucleotides) under Homo sapiens (human). Its description in RNAcentral is "HSALNT0306083". The record is from RNAcentral. Lineage: Eukaryota; Metazoa; Chordata; Mammalia; Primates; Hominidae.